CUUCUCUGAUGUUAGCGGCGGACGGGUGAGUAACACGUGGGUAACCUACCUAUAAGACUGGGAUAACUCCGGGAAACCCGGGGGCUAAUACCGGAUAAUAUUUGAACCGCAUGGUUCAAUAGUGAAAGACGGUUUCGGCUGUCACUUAUAGAUGGACCCGCGCCGUAUUAGCUAGUUGGUAAGGUAACGGCUUACCAAGGCGACGAUACGUAGCCGACCUGAGAGGGUGAUCGGCCACACUGGAACUGAGACACGGUCCAGACUCCUACGGGAGGCAGCAGAA
This 283-nucleotide ribosomal RNA is filed under the name uncultured Staphylococcus sp. Its description in RNAcentral is "partial 16S ribosomal RNA". It matches the Rfam family "Bacterial small subunit ribosomal RNA", at positions 81 to 354 of the family's 1533-position model. Lineage: Bacteria; Bacillati; Bacillota; Bacilli; Caryophanales; Staphylococcaceae. The record is from RNAcentral.